AAGCCUUCGGAUUUGCGAGAUUGGGAUCUCUCAGUAUACUUUCUCAUACGGUUAGUCAACAUCAGUUUUGAAUGUCAUGAAAUGACUGGAGAAAUGUAACUUUGAUCUCGUAUUGAAGUGUUAUAGCCUUUGGUAGAUGUGAUGUUUGAGACCGAGGAUUGCAAUGGAUACCCUUCAGCGCUAUUCGUCUGAUCUCUGAUAUGUUGCCCUGAUGUUGAAAGCUUGCUUAUG
This 231-nucleotide ribosomal RNA is filed under the name uncultured Funneliformis. RNAcentral's name for it is "partial 28S ribosomal RNA". Lineage: Eukaryota; Fungi; Glomeromycota; Glomeromycetes; Glomerales; Glomeraceae. The record is from RNAcentral.